RNAcentral lists this unclassified non-coding RNA (344 nucleotides) under soil metagenome. RNAcentral's name for it is "partial contains 5.8S ribosomal RNA, internal transcribed spacer 2, and large subunit ribosomal RNA". The stretch from base 1 to 119 matches the Rfam family "5.8S ribosomal RNA", at positions 35 to 154 of the family's 154-position model. The record is from RNAcentral.
GAUGAAGAACGUAGCGAAAUGCGAUACGUAAUGUGAAUUGCAAAUUCAGUGAAUCAUCGAGUCUUUGAACGCACAUUGCGCCCCCUGGUAUUCCGGGGGGCAUGCCUGUCCGAGCGUCAUUGCUGCCCUCAAGCACGGCUUGUGUGUUGGGCCCCGUCCUCCGAUCCCGGGGGACGGGCCCGAAAGGCAGCGGCGGCACCGCGUCCGGUCCUCGAGCGUAUGGGGCUUUGUCACCCGCUCUGUAGGCCCGGCCGGCGCUUGCCGAUCAACCCAAAUUUUUUAUCCAGGUUGACCUCGGAUCAGGUAGGGAUACCCGCUGAACUUAAGCAUAUCAUAGCGGAGGA